UACGUAGGGGGCCAGCGUUGUCCGGAAUCAUUGGGCGUAAAGCGCGCGUAGGCGGCCAGAUAAGUCCGGUGUGAAAGUCAAAGGCUCAACCUUUGAAUGCCGCUGGAAACUGCCUGGCUUGAGUCCGGAAGGGGCGAGUGGAAUUCCUGGUGUAGCGGUGAAAUGCGCAGAUAUCAGGAGGAACACCAAUGGCGAAGGCAGCUCGCUGGGACGGUACUGACGCUGAGACGCGAAAGCGUGGGGAGCAAACAGG
Molecule: ribosomal RNA, 253 nt
Filed under: uncultured bacterium
Lineage: Bacteria
Description: partial 16S ribosomal RNA
Rfam family: Bacterial small subunit ribosomal RNA
Source: RNAcentral